This 576-nucleotide ribosomal RNA is filed under the name uncultured eukaryote. RNAcentral's name for it is "SSU rRNA". It matches the Rfam family "Eukaryotic small subunit ribosomal RNA", at positions 203 to 786 of the family's 1831-position model. The record is from RNAcentral.
UUUGUUACUUCAAACCAAUCGGACUUCGGUCUGACAUCAAGUGAUAUUGAACAAUUUAGCUGAUCGCACGGUCUAAGAACCGGCGACAUAUCCUUCAAAUGUCUGCCUUAUCAACUUUCGAUGGUAGAUUAUGCGCCUACCAUGGUUGUAACGGGUAACGGAGAAUCAGGGUUUGAUUCCGGAGAGGGAGCCUGAGAAACGGCUACCACAUCCAAGGAAGGCAGCAGGCACGCAAAUUACCCACUCCCGGCACGGGGAGGUAGUGACGAAAAAUAACAAGCUGGUCUCAAUGAGUUCCAGCAUUGUAAUGGGAACAAUUUAAAUCUUUUAUCGAGGAUCUAUUGGAGGGCAAGUCUGGUGCCAGCAGCCGCGGUAAUUCCAGCUCCAAUAGCGUAUAUUAAAGUUGUUGCGGUUAAAAAGCUCGUAGUUGGAUCUAGGAUUAGGGCUACGGUCGUUCAGCUUGGACGUACUGUAUGCCCGACUCCUUUUCUCUAGUAUUCGAUUGUUGCUCUUAAAUGAGUGACUUUAGUUGCUGGAACUUUUACCUUGAAAAAAUUGAAGUGCUCAAAGCAGUUA